RNAcentral lists this ribosomal RNA (433 nucleotides) under Trentepohlia sp. TreFl 155. Its description in RNAcentral is "SSU rRNA". It matches the Rfam family "Eukaryotic small subunit ribosomal RNA", at positions 1300 to 1759 of the family's 1831-position model. Lineage: Eukaryota; Viridiplantae; Chlorophyta; Ulvophyceae; Trentepohliales; Trentepohliaceae. The record is from RNAcentral.
GGUGGGUUGGCUUGUCAGGUUGAUUCCGGUAACGAACGAGACCUCAGCCUGCUAAAUAGUCACGUUUGGUUCGCCAGACGGCAGACUUCUUAGAGGGACUAUUAGCGACUAUCAGCUAAUUGAAGUAUGAGGCAAUAACAGGUCUGUGAUGCCCUUAGAUGUUCUGGGCCGCACGCGCGCUACACUGACGCGUUCAACGAGCCUCCUGGUCACGAGAGGACCGGGUAAUCUUGUAAACCGCGUCGUGAUGGGGCUAGAGCUUUGUAAUUAUUGCUCUUUAACGAGGAAUGCCUAGUAAGCGCGAGUCAUCAACUCGCGUUGAUUACGUCCCUGCCCUUUGUACACACCGCCCGUCGCUCCUUCCGAUUGGGUGUGCUGGUGAAGAGUUCGGACUGUACCAUGGUUCGCAAGAACCAAGGUUCGGGAAGUUCUU